GAUGAACGCUAGCGGCAGGCUUAAUACAUGCAAGUCGAGGGGUAGCAAGAUUGUAGCAAUACAAUUGUUGACGACCGGCAAACGGGUGCGGAACACGUACACAACCUUCCUACAAGUGGGGAAUAGCCCAGAGAAAUUUGGAUUAAUACCCCGUAACAUAGCGAUGUGGCAUCACAUUGCUAUUAUAGCUUCGGCGCUUGUUGAUGGGUGUGCGGCUGAUUAGAUAGUUGGCGGGGUAACGGCCCACCAAGUCUACGAUCAGUAGCUGAUGUGAGAGCAUGAUCAGCCACACGGGCACUGCGACACGGGCCCGACUCCUACGGGAGGCAGCAGUAAGGAAUAUUGGACAAUGGACGCAAGUCUGAUCCAGCCAUGCCGCGUGAAGGAUUAAGGUCCUCUGGAUUGUAAACUUCUUUUAUAAGGGACGAAAAAAGGUCUUUCUAGAUCGUCUGACGGUACCUUAUGAAUAAGCACCGGCUAACUCCGUGCCAGCAGCCGCGGUAA
RNAcentral lists this ribosomal RNA (504 nucleotides) under uncultured bacterium. Its description in RNAcentral is "partial 16S ribosomal RNA". It matches the Rfam family "Bacterial small subunit ribosomal RNA", at positions 28 to 523 of the family's 1533-position model. The record is from RNAcentral.